Triticum dicoccoides is the source of this 4118-nucleotide long non-coding RNA. RefSeq lists it as uncharacterized. The record is from RefSeq and is a predicted model, not a curated record. Lineage: Eukaryota; Viridiplantae; Streptophyta; Magnoliopsida; Poales; Poaceae. The transcript is spliced from 6 exons.
GCCUCUCACUCUCUCUCUUGCCCCAGCCACCCCGCUCCCCCCUUGCUUUCCAGUAGCGGAUCUUGCCGCCGCCGCCGCUCGCUCCAUUCCCCUCACCCCGCCACACCCUCCUUCUUCCCUGGACAUGUAAGCGUGAGCAGCAGCACGAGGAACACGAUGGCAUCCGCCGAAGACCAGGCCGCGGCGCUGCUGGUCGGCGACCCGGCGGCGUUCGACGCGCUGCUCUCCACGCUCAUGUCGGCCUCCAACGCCGAUCGCGCCGCCACCGAGGUUGCCUUCCACCGCCUCUGCGGCUCCCACCUGGAGCCCCUCGCGCUGCGCCUCGCCCCCUCGCUCGCCGCGCCGUCCACACCCACCGAGCUCCACGCCAUAGCCGCCACCCUCCUCCGCAAGCUCCUCUCCCCGACGGCCUCCUCCGACUCCUCCGUUGCCGCGCCGCCCCCGCUCUGCCCCCUGCUCUCCCUUGACGGCCAGGGCACGCUCAAGGCCCACCUCCUCGCCGCGCUCUAAUCCGACCCCCCCAAGCCCAUCGCCAAGAAGGUUUGCAAUGCCAUAUACGAGCUCGCCACGCUCCUCCUCUCGGAGAACACCUGGGCCGAGCUGCUGUCGUUCCUCUUUCGUGCGGCCUCCACCCCUGAGGCGCCCAACCUGCAGGAGUCCGUGCUGCUCAUCUUCGCACGCCUCACGGAUUACAUCACCGAAUAUCUUCUCGACCAUUUGAAGACCAUCCACAACCUUCUAGCAUCUGCCCUGGCGCACCGACCUCGCCUGAUGUUCGCAUCGCCGCACUGAGCACUACCGUUAAUCUUGUUCAAUGCCUGCCCACUAAUGCAGCAGAGAUAAGAUGCAGGACUUGCUGCCUGCAAUGAUGAGGGCACUCAUGAAUUGCCUGAAUUCGUCCCAGGAGGCAUCUGCACAGGAGGCACUGAGGAGCGCCAGCCGCCGAGACCGUCCACGUAGUCAUUGUCGUCGUCCUCACACCGGCAGAUCCUCUAGAGCGCCUCCUUCGAGGAGCUCCCACCUACCCACCGCGCACGCUGACGCAUCCUGCUCCUCGGGUGAGAGCUUUCCCCUGCGACCUCGGUUCCCUGUCUCUGCUUCUCCACUGCGGCAACAUCCUCGUCAUCUAUAUCGGUCGACCGACUGCAGUGUACUACUAGCGGUGAGAUUCAGAAGGAGGAGGCAAACAGGGAGACGAGGUCAAUUUAUGUGCACAUGAAGGAGAGUGGUGGCAAUGAAGAUGAGCAUGUGGGAACGCAGCGUCAUCGGCGUCCAUGUUGCGACCGGCCUCAACAUCAAGAAGGCGUCACACUAAGCUGUCUAUACAUCAUCCCCACCACCCCAGCUGCGUCAUUGCUACAUUUGGACUCCAUGGGAUUUGAUGAGCUUGUUGCUCUUCUGAAAGGUAUCACAUUAUUCAAAGUGAGGUGCAUAUAUAGAUAGCAUUGAUUUUUUCUCAAUCGACGUUUUUUUUAUUAUGGAUAGGGUAUAAAUGCAUGAUUAGCAACUUUUGUUGUUACUUUCCAUGUUUUCCAUAUAUCUAUUGCAGUCCAUAUUGUGAUGCCAAACAUGAGUGGCGGGCGGGAGUGCCAAGGGUGGCGGGAGACCUGGCAUCUACCUAGAUUGGUUAUAUAUACUUUGGCAAUGUUACCCGUGGAAAUAGGAAUGAUUUUCUGAUUGUAUGGAAAGAACAAUCAAUUUUCCCGGUGAAUCUUACAUUGUCACAAGGGUAAGGCCCGUGCUCUAUGUUUCUCCUGUAAAAUUAACAGCAUUGGCUACCUCAAAAAGAAAGGAAAUGAACAGUUCUGUUAUGAAGAUGACAUCAUAGACCAAGCAUGAGCCUUUUUCUGUUGCUUGAUGCAUGUUUUAAACUGAUGCAAUGGAGGACUGUUUUUGUGUUUUACAUUCUCUAGCUUUCUUAUGUAUUUGUAUAUCUUUUCCCUACUGUGGAUCCAAAUUUACAAGGAAUCCUUUGUGAUGCUAAAUUUAUUUCAGUGAUACAGAAUGUGAGAUCAUUGAUGGGCAUGUCUGACAAUUUCUUAUGACGGAAACAUAUCUGGUGCUUUUCUUGAUGGGCAUGGUCCGGAAUUGCCCUUGCAUAGUUGUUUGGUUCAGGUAUAUAAACUAGAAUAAAACUAAACUGUAAUAAUUUUAGGAUCAUGAUUGAGUAGUCACAUGAAAACUGUCGAGUAAAAUCGAUGUUUACAUACAUGGAUUCUAUGAAUCUGCGUAGAACUAAAUCAUAGGUUGGUAGAGAUUCCAACCGGAAGUUAUUAUCCAUAAAAUAUUUAUAUGAAUUUAUGUUUUGCUUCGUCUCCCUGUGGAAAUGACUGCUACAAGGUAGGAGUUGAAGUAUAAUAAAUUAGGGGGCUAGAGAAAUCGGUCUGAAGCCACUGAUAUCCUCACAAAUUUAAUGGAUUCUCCUGUUAUUAUUUUCUUAUAGUUGUAUUUUGAGCAUAAGCAUCUCUAGCUGAGCUGCUCUUUCAAGCCUAAUCCAAAAUUAAGGAUUAUUGAUGUACUAAAAAAAUAGUCUAAGAAAUAGAAAAUUCCUUUGUUGAUAAGAAAUUGUAGUGGGAUAUCCUGUCUAAAUGUACAGCUGACCAGAUAUCCUGUUAUUAUUUUCUUAUAGUUGCAACUUUUAGCAAUGCUUGUUGAUGUUAUGCAAAUGACGUUGUGUCUGAUAUCAAGGCAGUAUAUGAAGAUAAACAGUGCCCAGUUUUUGCAUGGUUGUAACUUCCAGAACAGGUUAUGCUUUUGAGUUUCCCCAUCAUUUGAGCUUUUGGCGCUUGAUUUCAUUUGUGAUUUGGAAAUUUACAUGCUUUUUGUGCCGAGAUUUGGAUUUUGACAACAUCAAUCUAAUAGUCAACUAUAUAGUGGAUGAGAAUAUGUGGCUCUCGGGUGCCACACACCCGUGUAUGAAUAUAGUAUUAAAAAAUACCAGGAAAUUUAAAAAAUAUAUGGAAGUUUGGGAUAUCAAACCUGGGUGGCAAUUGUACACCGGUGUUCAGUUUCGUGCGGAAUGGGUGCCGGUGGUGUUCUCGGUAAAAAAAGUCAAAAAGAUUCUAUGAAUAAAAAAACUGUUUGGAUGGAUCCUAUGGCCGAUCGUAUUUUUUUAACCAUGGAUACCACGGGCACCCAUUCCCCAUGAAACUAAAUACGGGUGUACAAUGGGCACCUAGGUUUGAUAUCCUAAAGUUACAGAUUUUAUUGAAAUUUCCUGGUAUAUUUUUAUUACUAUAUUCAUAUAGAGGUUUGUGGCACCCGAGAGCUCCCAUACAUUUCCCAGUAUAUAGUUUACUACUAUGCCAUAUAAAAGCAUUGUAAAUAACUCUCUGAGACUAUCACUAUGGCCUGCUCAUGGUAUAUUGUACUGCAUCGUGAUGCUUUAUGUAUUUAAUGCUACAUUUUCUAACAAACACACCAAUGACAAGUAAUGAAACUCAUGAUCUGUACUGGACUGUUACUGCUACAUGCAUCUACUAUCUCCUAUUAUUUGAGUGGAUGUUGGAUUGUUAGACUUCUUUUAUGGAUCAUCAAACUUCUUUUAUCGGUCUGCCCCCUUGACCGCGACAAAGGAAGGGCCUCAUUCAGAGAGCAACGACGAUAGCACUCCAGCAGCUAAAAGUGUCAACGAAUUAGAGGAUAGCCUCACGAAAAUUGUCGGCUCGCUGUCACCAAAGGAAUAAACAUCAAACGAGUAACAUACCCUCCCUCCUGCUGUUCAGACUUGUACAACUAUAUGCAUUACUCAUGUUUGUGGCUUUCCCAGUGAAACAGACCACAUGCCCAGCAAAAAAAUAAAGUCUCAGCCUAAUACCCGCAGGGCUUUAGUCUCUAAAGACUAAAUGAACAAAUUGCAUGAUACAUUGAUGGGGAUGACAUUCCAAAAGGCGGGCGUAGUGAACGUGUUGAAGGAGUUGUAGCCUAUGUCUCUGCCUCAAAUGUCGAUGAUGCCUCUUUGUGCUAUCACUCCCAUGUCCUUUUUAUUUUGUUUGUUCGGUGAAUGUUGGAUUAGACAAGAAGGAUUUAUUCACGCUGGAUUUGCACAACUAUGAACUAUUUGUGCAAUCUUUUAUUUAAGCUUUGAAACAAGAAAAAUAAAUGUUGGGUUUGAGCAA